UACAGAGGUCUCAAGCGUUGUUCGGAUUCAUUGGGCGUAAAGGGCGCGUAGGCGGCGGGGUAAGUCGGGUGUGAAAUCUCAGAGCUCAACUCUGAAACUGCACUCGAUACUGCUCUGCUUGAGGACUGGAGAGGAGACUGGAAUUCACGGUGUAGCAGUGAAAUGCGUAGAUAUCGUGAGGAAGACCAGUGGCGAAGGCGGGUCUCUGGACAGUUCCUGACGCUGAGGCGCGAAGGCCAGGGAAGCAAACGGG
This 253-nucleotide ribosomal RNA is filed under the name uncultured bacterium. Its description in RNAcentral is "partial 16S ribosomal RNA". It matches the Rfam family "Bacterial small subunit ribosomal RNA", at positions 524 to 776 of the family's 1533-position model. The record is from RNAcentral.